UGGAGUACAGUGUCCUCCAGGAGCUCAGCUUGUAAACGGCUCCGUGUCUGCCUGUGACACAAUGCUAGGAUGCAGGGGGGAGAGUUGAGGUUUGGGACAGAAGGGAAUGGUGAGAUUCAAAGUCAAGAGGGGAACAUUUAAGUGGAUCAACUGCUUAAACGCAGGUCCAGUUUAAGAGAUGCCACACAAAGGCUGACAGCCAUCACAUGGUUAUAUACGUCUUAAAUUAGGUGGAAGGAAAGAGCUUGUGGAUGCUACACAACUGGCAGUCUGGGGGCUUUGAGAAGUGUUGCUGGAAGAGCAAUCUUUGCAUUGUGGUUUGGCUCUGACAACGUGUGUGACAACUGGAAAUCGCUGUUUGUUUCUAAACGGUAUCCAAAGGGGGCGUCAGAGACCCUCAGACUUUAAUUUCUUCUGAAAUCAGAGAUUGUGGAAAAGGUUUCCUUGUUUCUAGCACAAUUAACGAGGUGGUUAGCUCCACCCCAACCCCGGUUUAUCUUGAGUUUGUGCCCAAUUUUGAGCACAACUCUGAAAGAGAUGGCAGCAGCAAACUUCUUGGACAUUAAUAGCUCCUGCUUUUCUUUAAAUGCCUCGAGGAAAGAGAACCUGUUCCAGGAUGGACAAAAACCACAAAAGAAAGGUAAAAAAGUGGAGAAGAGGAAGAUGAAUGAAGAGGAAUUAUUGUUUCAACUAGCUACUGCUGCUCUAACUACUCUGGAGCUGUAACAAACUCUGCCUCCUUUAUCAGUUAUGGAAGAAACAACAAGAAACUAAGAACACUUAUGAACUUAGGUGCUCUUUGGAAGAAGUGUGUUGGGGGCUACCAAUGCUUGUUUUUGGAAUAUCUAGAACUGUGGGGUCCUAGUGGGAUGCAAGGACCCAACGGGAUGCACAAGAAAAUCCACUGGAGUGCAGGAGGAAAAUAUUCUUUGUACCAUUAAUAGAUAAAAUCAAAAAAUGUUUUAAAAA
Molecule: long non-coding RNA, 969 nt
Organism: Corvus hawaiiensis (hawaiian crow)
Lineage: Eukaryota; Metazoa; Chordata; Aves; Passeriformes; Corvidae
Exons: 2
Source: RefSeq, a predicted model, not a curated record